CCUACGGGAGGCAGCAGUGGGGAAUAUUGCACAAUGGGCGAAAGCCUGAUGCAGCGACGCCGCGUGAGGGAUGACGGCCUUCGGGUUGUAAACCUCUUUCAGCAGGGAAGAAGCGAAAGUGACGGUACCUGCAGAAGAAGCACCGGCUAACUACGUGCCAGCAGCCGCGGUAAUACGUAGGGUGCGAGCGUUGUCCGGAAUUAUUGGGCGUAAAGAGCUUGUAGGCGGUUUGUCGCGUCUGCCGUGAAAAUUCGAGGCUCAACCUCGAACUUGCGGUGGGUACGGGCAGACUAGAGUGUGGUAGGGGAGACUGGAAUUCCUGGUGUAGCGGUGAAAUGCGCAGAUAUCAGGAGGAACACCGAUGGCGAAGGCAGGUCUCUGGGCCACUACUGACGCUGAGAAGCGAAAGCAUGGGGAGCGAACAGGAUUAGAUACCCUGGUAGUCCAUGCCGUAAACGUUGGGAACUAGGUGUGGGUCUCAUUCCACGAGAUCCGUGCCGCAGCUAACGCAUUAAGUUCCCCGCCUGGGGAGUACGGCCGCAAGGCUAAAACUUAAGGAAUUGACGGCUGAGACGNGCGAGACGACGACGAGGGAGAG
RNAcentral lists this ribosomal RNA (598 nucleotides) under uncultured bacterium. Its description in RNAcentral is "bacterial SSU rRNA". It matches the Rfam family "Bacterial small subunit ribosomal RNA", at positions 338 to 946 of the family's 1533-position model. The record is from RNAcentral.